CUCCUCCUCAUCCUCCUGUGUUCACUUGCACGGCAGCGGCGGUGGCGCCUCACCCGCCCAACGCGUCGUCGAGCAUCCUGCUGUUCCCUCCAGCAGCUCCACCACACCUCGAUUCCCUUCUCCUUCCUGUCGCCUCCCUCCACAGCCCCACCUCCAUCCAAUUAUCCCAAACCUAGCGGUGUAGUGGCGGGCCGGCGGCGACCACGCCGCAGCCGCCCGUUCCCCUCCCGGCCUUCGUUUCCCCACUUGCUGAUGCUCCCACUCGCCCGCAAACUACAGCCGCGGCCUGUGCUGCAAGUAUUCCAGAUCAUGAGAUUGAGGCCUGCAGGCAUAGCAGAUCGGCACGGCGUGGGCAGAUCUACGCGACGUGGCGAAGGGGCUGCUGCGAGCCUGCCCUGCGGGCAGCGGAUCCGGCCACCAGCACGCAUGGUCUGAGAGGCAAGAAGCGGCACAUGGGGGAGGCGGCGUACCGUGCAUCAGAGAGAAGAGGCAGCGCAGGGGAGGCGGAUCCACACUGCAUUCCUUGAAAUUGGUGGCUCUGACUAACCCGAGCGUGUGAGUGGCGAGGUGCUGGUGAGGGGCAAGCCCUCGACGCCUGUCGGCCGACAAGCCACUGACUGCUCGGUCCACGCUGUGUCACCAUCCAUAUCCCGUCGCCGUCCAAUACCAUGGGAAACCUUAGCGAGGACGGGUUGUAUGCAAACAUGAGAUUGGUGUUCGACAGCCAUCCGGAAGCCUGAAAUGAUGCCUGAAAGUGAUGUCUACAUGUAGAAAACUUGUAUGAUCGCCUUUCCUAAAAGAUGAAACACAUUUUUACAGCAAAGGAAAGCACGGCAGGUCUGUCUGCAUCUAUACAGCAUAAUGACUCUUUCCUAACAACCUAGGACUUGGAGUUCAUCUUGUUAGCUUAUGGUAUAGUGUUCCUUACCUGCAGAGUCAUAUUCUGUGUGCUAGUUACCUCAUGACCUGAUGAGUACUAGGAACCUUUGCUUUUAGAAACCAGAGUUCUUGCUAUAUAGCUAUACACUAUCUACUACUGAAUGUAAGCUACUCCAAAUACUUGCAGCAUCUUAUAACCAAAUUUGAUUCUGAUAAAUUGUGAUGCUUUCAGGUACCUAAUUCAAGGAGAAACAACUGAACAUGAAGAACUAGUUUCUUGGAUAUGACACAUGUUACUAUUCUUGAGCUCAACCUUUGUGAGAAGGUGCAGGUGUGUCGAAUGUGCUUCUGAGGCUGCUAGUGGAGAAAGGGAUACAUGCUAGUCCUAUCUAGUUAUUUCUGUAGCUUGUUUACUGUUCUCCAGAUUGUAGUUAUGCUUUUAGUAAUUUGUGACUUGUGCUUGCUGGAGCCACUUUGUUGAAGUGAACUGAUGAAGCUGACCUGUGUUCUUUGAACAUUGCAAUGUCAACUUUUGAUGUAUGCAAAUUUGUUUGAUACUAUGACGAUUA
Molecule: long non-coding RNA, 1448 nt
Organism: Panicum hallii
Lineage: Eukaryota; Viridiplantae; Streptophyta; Magnoliopsida; Poales; Poaceae
Exons: 3
Source: RefSeq, a predicted model, not a curated record